RNAcentral lists this ribosomal RNA (705 nucleotides) under uncultured Enterobacteriaceae bacterium. RNAcentral's name for it is "SSU rRNA". It matches the Rfam family "Bacterial small subunit ribosomal RNA", at positions 148 to 847 of the family's 1533-position model. The record is from RNAcentral. Lineage: Bacteria; Pseudomonadati; Pseudomonadota; Gammaproteobacteria; Enterobacterales; Enterobacteriaceae.
UACUGGAAACGGUAGCUAAUACCGCAUAACGUCGCAAGACCAAAGUGGGGGACCUUCGGGCCUCAUGCCAUCAGAUGUGCCCAGAUGGGAUUAGCUAGUAAGUGGGGUAAAGGCUCACCUAGCGCGACGAUCCCUAGCUGGUCUGAGAGGAUGACCAGCCACACUGGAACUGAGACACGGUCCAGACUCCUACGGGAGGCAGCAGUGGGGAAUAUUGCACAAUGGGCGCAAGCCUGAUGCAGCCAUGCCGCGUGUGUGAAGAAGGCCUUCGGGUUGUAAAGCACUUUCAGCGGGGAGGAAGGCGUUAAGGUUAAUAACCUUGGCGAUUGACGUUACCCGCAGAAGAAGCACCGGCUAACUCCGUGCCAGCAGCCGCGGUAAUACGGAGGGUGCAAGCGCUAAUCGGAAUUACUGGGCGUAAAGCGCACGCAGGCGGUCUGUCAAGUCGGAUGUGAAAUCCCCGGGCUCAACUUGGGAACUGCAUUCGAAACUGGCAGGCUAGAGUCUUGUAGAGGGGGGUAGAAUUCCAGGUGUAGCGGUGAAAUGCGUAGAGAUCUGGAGGAAUACCGGUGGCGAAGGCGGCCCCCUGGACAAAGACUGACGCUCAGGUGCGAAAGCGUGGGGAGCAAACAGGAUUAGAUACCGUGGUAGUCCACGCCGUAAACGAUGUCGAUUUGGAGGUUGUGCCCUUGAGGCGUGGCUUCC